This 248-nucleotide ribosomal RNA is filed under the name uncultured bacterium. RNAcentral describes it as "partial 16S ribosomal RNA". It matches the Rfam family "Bacterial small subunit ribosomal RNA", at positions 1244 to 1500 of the family's 1533-position model. The record is from RNAcentral.
GGGAUGCUACCGGGCGACCGGAUGCGGAUCUCGAAAGCCUGUCCCAGUUCGGACUGGAGUCUGCAACCCGACUCCACGAAGUUGGAUUCGCUAGUAAUCGCGCAUCAGCCAUGGCGCGGUGAAUACGUUCCCGGGCCUUGUACACACCGCCCGUCAAGCCAUGGGAGCCGGGGGCGCCUGAAGUCCGGGACCGCGAGGACCGGCCUAGGGCGAAACUGGUAACUGGGGCUAAGUCGUAACAAGGUACC